AGCAGCCGCGGUAAUUCCAGCUCCAAUAGCGUAUAUUAAAGUUGUUGCAGUUAAAAAGCUCGUAGUUGAAUUUCGGGGUCUGUCCAUUGGUCGGGCUUCACGGUCCGUACUGGUGUGAUGGGUUCCUACCUUCUGAAUAACCAGCAUGCCAUUUAGUUGGUGUGCCGGGGAAGCAGAGCUAUUACCUUGAAAAAUUGAGUGCUUAAAGCAGGCUAGUGCUUGAAUAGAUUAGCAUGGAAUAAUAAAAUAGGACGGCAUGGUUCUACUUUGUUGGUUUCUAGGAUCACCGUAAUGAUUAAUAGGGAUAGUUGGGGGCAUUAGUAUUCAAUUGUCAGAGGUGAAAUUCUUGGAUUUAUUGAAGACUAACUUCUGCGAAAGCAUUUGCCAAGGAUGUUUUCAUUAAUCUAAGAACGUAAAGUUAGGGGAUCGAAGACGAUCAGAUACCGUGUAGUCUUAACCAUAAACUAUGCCGACUAGGGAUCGGACGAUGUUAAUUUUUAACUGUACCUUCGUUCGGCGC
This 520-nucleotide ribosomal RNA is filed under the name uncultured Glomeromycotina. RNAcentral describes it as "SSU rRNA". It matches the Rfam family "Eukaryotic small subunit ribosomal RNA", at positions 569 to 1086 of the family's 1831-position model. The record is from RNAcentral. Lineage: Eukaryota; Fungi; Glomeromycota.